RNAcentral lists this ribosomal RNA (460 nucleotides) under uncultured bacterium. Its description in RNAcentral is "partial 16S ribosomal RNA". It matches the Rfam family "Bacterial small subunit ribosomal RNA", at positions 338 to 795 of the family's 1533-position model. The record is from RNAcentral.
CCUACGGGGGGCUGCAGUGAGGAAUAUUGGUCAAUGGACGAGAGUCUGAACCAGCCAAGUAGCGUGAAGGAUGACUGCCCUAUGGGUUGUAAACUUCUUUUAUAUGGGAAUAACAUGUUCCACGUGUGGGAUUUUGUAUGUACCAUAUGAAUAAGGAUCGGCUAACUCCGUGCCAGCAGCCGCGGUAAUACGGAGGAUCCGAGCGUUAUCCGGAUUUAUUGGGUUUAAAGGGAGCGUAGGUGGAUUGUUAAGUCAGUUGUGAAAGUUUGCGGCUCAACCGUAAAAGUGCAGUUGAAACUGGCAGUCUUGAGUACAGUAGAGGUGGGCGGAAUUCGUGGUGUAGCGGUGAAAUGCUUAGAUAUCACGAAGAACUCCGAUUGCGAAGGCAGUUCACUGGACUGCAACUGACACUGAGGCUCGAAAGUGUGGGUAUCAAACAGGAUUAGAUACCCGGGUAGUC